RNAcentral lists this ribosomal RNA (584 nucleotides) under uncultured Bacteroidota bacterium. RNAcentral describes it as "bacterial SSU rRNA". It matches the Rfam family "Bacterial small subunit ribosomal RNA", at positions 334 to 918 of the family's 1533-position model. The record is from RNAcentral. Lineage: Bacteria; Pseudomonadati; Bacteroidota.
GGGGCCUACGGGAGGCAGCAGUGAGGAAUAUUGGGCAAUGGAGGCAACUCUGACCCAGCUAUGCCGCGUGCAGGAAGACGGCCCUCUGGGUUGUAAACUGCUUUUGUUUGGGAAUAAAUCCUCCUACGUGUAGAAGGCUGACGGUACUAUACGAAUAAGCACCGGCUAACUCCGUGCCAGCAGCCGCGGUAAUACGGAGGGUGCAAGCGUUAUCCGGAAUCACUGGGUUUAAAGGGUGCGUAGGCGGCCUGAUAAGUCAGAGGUGAAAUACUGUCGCUCAACGAUAGCAUUGCCUUUGAUACUGUUAGGCUUGAAUCAGAAUGAGGUUAGCGGAAUGUGUCAUGUAGCGGUGAAAUGCUUAGAUAUGCCACAGAACACCGAUUGCGAAGGCAGCUUGCUAGGCUAUAACUGACGCUGAGGCACGAAAGCGUGGGGAGCAAACAGGAUUAGACACCCUGGUAGUCCACGCUGUAAACGAUGAUUACUCGUUGUUGGCGAUAUACAGUCAGCGACUAAGCGAAAGUAUUAAGUAAUCCACCUGGGAAGUACGACCGCAAGGUUGAAACUCAAAGGAAUUGACGGGG